AGUGAACGCUGGCGGUAGGCCUAACACAUGCAAGUCGAACGGCAGCACAGUAAGAGCUUGCUCUUACGGGUGGCGAGUGGCGGACGGGUGAGGAAUACAUCGGAAUCUACUUUUUCGUGGGGGAUAACGUAGGGAAACUUACGCUAAUACCGCAUACGACCUACGGGUGAAAGCAGUGGAUCUUCGGACCUUGCGCGAAUGAAUGAGCCGAUGUCGGGUUAGCUAGUUGGCGGGGUAAUGGCCCACCAAGGCGACGAUCCGUAGCUGGUGUGGGAGGCUGGUAGGCCACACUGGAACUGAGACACGGUCCAGACUCCUACGGGAGGCAGCAGUGGGGAAUAUUGGACAAUGGGCGCAAGCCUGAUCCAGCCAUACCGCGUGGGUGAAGAAGGCCUUCGGGUUGUAAAGACCUUUUGUUGGGAAAGAAAAGCAGCAGGUUAAUACCCCGCUGUUCUGACGGUACCGAAAGAAGAAGCACCGGCUAACUUCGUG
This 492-nucleotide ribosomal RNA is filed under the name uncultured bacterium. Its description in RNAcentral is "partial 16S ribosomal RNA". It matches the Rfam family "Bacterial small subunit ribosomal RNA", at positions 29 to 507 of the family's 1533-position model. The record is from RNAcentral.